GGGAGCUGUGUAUCCCUGCCCCCAGAGGGGAAGGCCUGGUGAAAAGCACCAUUUGCAAGCAGGGUCAACCACUUAUGAAAUAAUUCAGUUUGGGGAGCAACUUAGGGCAGAAAGGAAUAAUUUGGGCCUUGAAGGGGAACCUGUAACCUUGGGACCCACCUGGAGCAAGGUGCCAUAGCUCAGGCCGCAUCUCUGUCUCCUUGGGGAGUGAGGGCUUCUUGGGGCCUGCUGAGUGCCUGCUGCCCCAGCCCUGGAGAGGCCACAGUGGAGCUUGAGGCCCCAACAAGGUUUCAACAAAGGAGGAGGGGAUUAUACCUACCUGCUUGGUCAGAGGGGCCAAUUGGAAAGAGCUUUGAGCUGAGAGUCAGGAGACUUGGCCUCAGUGUGAUCCUGAGCAAAUCAUCUGCCCUUUCUUGUGCCUCUAUUUCACUUAAAAAAUGGGCACACAUGACCACUCUUUAGCUCCCCUCCUCUUCUCGGGGUGGAGGUGAGGGGUAGCAGUUAAUAGUAGAUGGAAAAGUUCUGUGUUUUGAAAAAAAAGCAAAGGUGAGUGGACAGACAGGAAUCCAGGGGGUUGUUCCCUAAUCCAGGAUGUGGCUGGUGCCCAUGGGGCCUGAAGGACUCUCUUGCCUGCUGCAGAAUGAGCCCAUGGUGGUAGCAGUUGAGGAGGGUAGCAAGGCAGGCUCCCUGGCCCUGCUAUGAGAGGAUGGCCAGGGCCAUGCUGUCCUCCCUUCCUCCCUCCCUCUGCUCACCCUCUUGGCAGCUCUUCCUGAACUUGUUUUUCCAAGUCACUAAUUAACUUCACGCUCAAUCUCCCAGGUGGGCCUACUCUCCUGGCUAACUUUUCCUCAGAGAACCAGCUUCUGCUUCCCAUGGUUCCUGGCAGAAUUGGGAUAUGCUGUCCCUGCCCCUUACCUCAACCACUCUGUUUUUCAGGAGAGAGGGUGGUGCCAGGACUGGAUUCCCAGCAUGGGCAUGGCCACGGACAGGCACUUUUGCCAGCCCACCUAGGGAUGGCCAUGGAGAGCCCACAGGCUGGAGCCAUUUAUUUAAUGCCCAUAUCAGCCUGUAUUGACUUGGCAGCCCCUUUCUCAGAGGAGGAAGGAUGAGGCUAGAAAAGGAACUUAAAUUUACCUUCACUGGGGAGAAGCAAGCAGGAAAAACUCCAGCAGUGUUGUAAAAUUGGUAAAGUGUGUCUGUGUAAUUGUUAUUACACGUGCAUUUCAUCUGCAUUCACCCCCUGGACCCAGCCUUCUCCUUCCAUGCUGUUUCUGAUCAACCCAUCCAAGUUAAAGUGCAAAUGAGGUACAGUGAGUUGUGUGAUGGGGGACCUGUCCUAAGCCCGAGGCACACUUUCCCACGGGUGAAAUAACAGUCAUCAGGGAGCUAACUGGGAACAGGAUCAGUGAUUCAGAGAUGGCUUUCCCAGGCCUGUGAAUUGACCCUGCCUGGGAGGUGGUGAAAACAUUGUGGUAUGACGAAAAGGUACAGCUUUUGAAGUUAAACAGUUCUGAGUUCAAAUCUGGUUUUCAUCCCUUCCAGGCUGUGUGACCUUAAGCAAGUAUGUAACGUCUCUGAUGUUCAGUUCAUCCUGCAUAAAAUGGGAUGAUGAGGCGUGCCUCACAGGGUCAUUGGGAGGAUUGAAGGCGAUUGAAGCAUAUACAGAGUGCUUAACAGUACCAGGCACAGAAGAGACAGCUGAUAACUCUUCAUUCCCAGAUUUUCCCCCUCAAACUUCCUUCUGCUCCAGAAGCCCUGGAGGUGCUGCUUCUUGCUUCAUUUUCCCAGGUCCCCUUGUAUUCUUCAUUGGUGUUUUGCAGUACUAAGAACAAGGUAUGCCCUCCCCAUCCCAGUGCAGACUCCCAGGGAGGAAAACCUCUCUGAGUCCUCACUGGACAGGGGACGGGUACAUGCCAGUGCCUGCCCACACAGCCAGGUGGAAGUCAGGGUAGGUGAGACAGGUAUGGGGAUUACCAAAUGGUACCGUGAGGCCACAGACCUCCCUUACCCACCUAUUUAGGCUCAGCCGUCUGGUCAAGGAGGAAGUCCAGUCCAGCCAUCAUGCAGGACAGGCGGCAGCAGGAGGCAUGAGACUGGACCCCAUCAGUGGGCAUCCUGACAGUGGUGGAUGGCACGGCAUGAAUAACACAUGAAGGCUCCAUAAUUGGUGUUAUUACACAUGCAUUUCAUCUCCAUUCAUAAUGAUUGGACACUUAAACCCAGCCGCCGUUCCUCUGCGGAGUGCUGCUGUCAUCCUUCUAGCCGAGAUCCCAGCAGCUGUCGAGAUCAGCCCCUGCCACUCUGAUGCUGAUGGGUGUGGUUCCUUUUUCUUUGGCGCCCAGAGUUCCAGGAAAUGUUGGUUUGUGGAAAGGAGUGAGACUGGUUCUUCUGACCAGACCACCCUCUCAACUGCCAUGGUGCAUGUUGUCUGCCUUUAGGGGUUUCCUCACCAUCUAGGCAGUCAGUGGGGACAUCCUAAGGUGAGAGGCAGGAGAAGAGACUAUGGCUAAUAGGCUCAGCCAGCAGAAAGUGGUCCAGGGUCAUUCCUUGCAGCAACCUGCCUCUGAGCAUCCCUUCAUACAGCGGACUUCAAACUAGUGUGCAUUAGGAUUGCUUAGAAGGUUUGUUAAAACAUUGCUGGAUCUUACCCUCAGCAUUUCUCACUCAGUAGCUUUAGGUAAAGUUUGAAAUUUGCGUUUCUAACCAAAGGACCAGAGACCUAAUGCUUCUGGUCCAGGACCAUACUUUGAGGACCGUUGCCUUAAAGCCCAGUUACUGCAACUGUGGUGCAUGGACAAAGAGCCUCACCUGAGUGCUUAUUACAAAUGCAGAAUCACAGGACCUGCCCCAAGCCUCUGGAUCAGGAAUGCAUUGUAGCAAGAUUCCCAUUGCAGCUUGAGAAGCCUUAAAAUGCAAAUGGGUCAGAGGUGGGCAGAGCUAUCAAAGGCAGGUCUAGCAGCUAUAGAUCCCUGACCAGUGCUUCCAGCCAAGAGCAGCUUCUAUCUUCUGUGACAAAGAUUGGGAAACAUUGCCCGAGAGCCCCCAGGCAUAUGGAUAAAGACCCUCUGAGGAGGGACUUCCAGCCCUGACUCCAUACGUUAAUCCCACCUCUCACUCUGGAAUGCCCUUCCUGGUAACCUUCAUGCAGAAGUCCAUGUCCCCAGCUGGGCCCAUCCAUCCCUGUCUGACAGCUGCCCCCUGCUCUCCUCCCCUGCCCAUAGGUAGUGGCCUUUGCCUCUCUCUUCUUCAUCCUGGUCUCCAUCACCACUUUCUGCCUGGAGACCCAUGAGGCCUUUAAUAUCGACCGCAACGUGACAGAGAUCCUCCGCGUAGGGAACAUCACCAGCGUGCACUUCCGGCGGGAGGUAGAGACAGAGCCCAUCCUGACCUACAUCGAGGGCGUAUGUGUGCUGUGGUUCACACUGGAGUUCCUGGUGCGCAUCGUGUGCUGCCCCGACACGCUGGACUUCGUCAAGAACCUGCUCAACAUCAUCGACUUUGUGGCCAUCCUGCCCUUCUACCUGGAGGUGGGGCUGAGCGGGCUGUCAUCCAAGGCGGCCCGCGACGUGCUGGGCUUCCUGCGCGUGGUGCGCUUCGUGCGCAUCCUGCGUAUCUUCAAGCUUACACGCCACUUCGUGGGGCUGCGUGUGCUGGGCCACACCCUGAGGGCCAGCACCAAUGAGUUCCUGCUGCUUAUCAUCUUCCUGGCCCUGGGUGUGCUCAUCUUUGCCACCAUGAUCUACUACGCUGAGCGCAUUGGGGCCAGGCCCUCCGACCCUCGGGGUAAUGACCACACCGACUUCAAGAACAUCCCCAUUGGCUUCUGGUGGGCUGUGGUCACCAUGACGACACUGGGCUAUGGAGACAUGUACCCCAAGACGUGGUCAGGCAUGCUGGUAGGGGCACUGUGUGCGCUGGCUGGCGUGCUCACCAUCGCCAUGCCAGUGCCUGUCAUCGUCAACAACUUCGGCAUGUACUACUCCCUGGCCAUGGCCAAGCAGAAGCUGCCCAAGAAACGGAAGAAGCACGUGCCACGGCCGGCCCAGCUGGAGUCACCCAGGUACUGCAAGUCUGAGGAGACCUCCCCCCGGGACAGCACCUACAGUGAUACCAGCCCCCCUGCCCGGGAAGAGGGUAUGAUCGAGAGGAAACGGGCAGGUGAGAUUAGGGGUUGGGAAGGAAAAUCUCUUUUCCCCCAGUGGCCUAGGGAGUUUCCAAAUGGACCUCAGCCCUUAGGAUUUGGCAUGUGUUUUGUGUGGGGCUUCCCUAAGUAUAAGAUGUGCCUUUAUGAGGGCAAAGUGUUGAGGCCGAAUUUCUCUAUCCUCUGGCUGGGUCUCCAAUAGCUUCCCAAACAUCAGAUCUUUGGAGUGAGUAUUCCACCCAGGGUAGGGUGUGAUGGGCAGUACAUGGGGCUGUGUAUUAGAUGCCCUGGUUUUAAAUCCAGUCUUGGCCACUGUGCUGUGUGCCCUGAGGCCAGUCACUCACCCUCUCUAGGCACCUGUAAAAUGGGAAUAAUACCAUAUCCUACCCUCAAGACUUCGAGAGACCCAAAUGAAUGACAGAUAUGAAAGUACUUUGGGAAGUUAAAACCACUUUACAAAUGUCAGGUACUGUCAAUAUUAGCCAAUGAGCAGGGCAGCUGUUCUUCCAAGGUACAUCAACACAUGAAUCACUUCUUUGCAAACGUUCGAGUCUGGUAUCUUGGCCUAAUAAAUGUGAUAACAUAAUAGCAGUGGGAGGCUGCCUUCUGUUCAGCACAAGCUAGAUUGAGUCCUGGGCUCAGGGUUUGACAUGGGAUGGAAAGGAACUGAGGAAGGAGUGGCCCAGACAGUGUUGGGAAGGGGAGGAACAUGGAAGAAACUGAUAUCUGUGCCCUGGAAGGGGAGAGCCUGGGCAUCUGAAUCCUGUCCCUCAAGGAUGGGAAAGGCCAUCCCAAGAAAGCUCGUCUCCGCCCCUGAAUCAGGAGUUGGGAAAUGGAAAACAGCUUAAUCCCCAGCAACGUGGACUUAGGUUGGAGAGUGGGAAAGGCAUCCUGACUGUUAUGUGUAGGCUGGGCUCCUGGGAAAGGUAUGGAAUUCCGGGUAUGGGGAGCUGGACUGGAGCCAGGAGACUAAGGCUAAGCUCUGGGGCAAAGUGGGACUGACCCUGCAGGAGAGGCGCCUAGCUUGGGACACUUACCUAUGGCCUUUGGCAUGUGCCUAUCAUACAUGCCCGGGUCCACUCAUUCCCUGGGGUCAUGUCAGGGGCCUGGGUCUUCCAAAGGCCUUGAUAGAAUAGCACCCGUCAGGCUUCCCAUUUCUCCCCCACCAAAGUGGCACUGCUUCCUAAUUUGUGACUAUUAAUCUCCCGGGGAAUUUCAGCUGCACUCUGAGGCCCAUUCAGGGUAUAAAGAGAAUCCCAGUAUUAAAAUGUAGAAGUCCUUAGGUCAGCUCCUCAAGGUACACUUAACUGUGGCCCUAUCAGCGUUGCCCUUAGCCUGACCCUGACAGCAGACACAGUAAGGGUAUGCCUGGUCAAUGGCAGGGCCACUGUCUUCAGAUAGAGUAGCACCCCCUUCUCCAGAUCCAAGGGCUCAGCUUCACCUGUGCUACUGCCUGACAGAGGCAAGGGGUGGGGACUAAGCCCACAGCACUUGGGAGCUGCAUCGGAGCUUUCCCCAUGGUAUCCUCCCCAGACAAAGGUCAGCCCUAAUUGCAGAGGGCUCUAGGUCUUUUGGGCACAGGACUCUGGCCUAGAUGCCUAGUGAACAAGAAUUACUGUCAUCCAGGGAGAAAGCAUGGACACCACUUUAUAGGUUUAACCCUUGCCGUGCCACCCCUCACCCCUAGCAAGCCAGGUAUUCUCCACGGGAAUGCAGACUCAUCCAAGAGUCAGCCUGAGCCAGACCCAAGGAGGAAGUAGAGUCUGCGGCCUGCUUUGGGCUGAUCUCCUGGGGCAGCCGUCAGCAGGCAGAUUUGGGGAGUCACUGCUGUAGGGCAUCUGCACUGUGGCUUCAUCCCUGAGGAGAGACCCUAGGCUGAGGCUGGGAGGGAAGUCAGUCUUCACACCAAGUGCAGCAUCCCUGCCUUUUGCCCUCUGCUCCCCGACUCUGGCAAUGCUGCCUCCCAGGUAGAUGCUAGGCCCCUCCUGAGGUUGAGGAAGUAACACUCUGGGUCUGGGAGACCCCAGAUGACCCAUGAGCAAGGCUUAGGCGGCCCCUCAUGCAGCCUCCUUUCUGUGUGCCCCCUUCAGACUCUAAGCAGAAUGGCGAUGCCAACGCAGUGCUGUCCGAUGAGGAGGGAGCUGGCCUCACCCAACCCCUGGCCUCCUCCCCCACCCCCGAGGAGCGCCGGGCCCUGCGACGCUCCACCACUCGAGACAGAAACAAGAAGGCAGCUGCCUGCUUCCUGCUCAGCACUGGGGACUAUGCCUGCGCCGAUGGUAGUGUCCGGAAAGAGACCUGCCAAGACGCCCUCUCGUCCAACUAUGCCCAGCCUGAAGUCCUCACCCUCUCUUAAAGCGGCACCAACGUGAGAGAGACAGGCAGACAGACAGAAAGCCAGAGGCUUAGGCAAACUCUGGAACCCAGACAAGAAUCUUUUCGCUGAGAAAGACUCAGAUAUCCUUGUUUGCACAGGACUGGUGGAAAAUCUCUCAUGCGACCCUCGGGGCCCAGAGCCAUCUGGGUCUGAUGUUCUGUUCCAUUGUACAUUGAAGAGAUAUAUAUGCACAUAUAGUAUCUAUAUUCAUACAUACUAUACUCUUGUGUGUAGUGCACGUGCUCUUGGUGGUUUGUCUUCUUUGUUAGGCUGUGUCUCCCUAAGCCCUUUUGCCCCACCCAGAGUUUCCCAUCCCCUUCACUGAUUUCUGUUGUUUCUGCUGACUGUGUGGGUGGAAUGUCCCAAGAAAAGUGCAUCUGGGAAUUGCCAGUCCAGCUGGGUGGUCCCAGGCUCCUGUCUUGGGGAUGUUUCCCCUGUCAGCAAGUAACCUGGUGAAGUCUAUAGAAGGCCAGACUGCCCCCUAGGGUCACUGCUUCACUAGCCCCACCCCACCCUAGAUUGGGGUUCUACCUCCCACCCCACAUCCUCAUUGUGGGGGGACUUCCAGGGGCUCCUCUGCAGCCUCCUCCACUCCUUCCUCCACCCCAUCUAUGUCCUUGAUUUAGGGGGGCAUUUUGUCUUUUUUAUUUUUGAUUUUGUUCUGUCUCCUUUGUCUGUUUGUUGUCAAAGAUGCUGCUGGGCAGACGGGCAGGGAAAGGAUCUGUCUGCCCAUCUGGCCCAGGGGGUCUGAGAAGGGAAGCUUUGGGCAAGAGGAGACCAGUUGCAAUACUGUACUUCCUGGCCAGUGGCCAGAGGAUGCGUGCAAUAGCAGAGGCCAGGUGACCCCUUCAGCCUUGGCCUCUGCCCCUCCCUUGGCCCUCCCUCCCUGCUCCUCCCUGGUGUUGGUCAGUCCUUUUCUAAAGCUGUCCCCUCGUGUGUGUCUGGGGCAUGCCCAGGCUGGGCCCUAUGCCCUGUCUGCAUGUCUCCAACUGUCAUGCUGUGCUUGAGCCCCAAUAAAGACAUCUGGAGCAUCCUGCUGCUCCUGCUGUGUGA
RNAcentral lists this small RNA (7571 nucleotides) under Pongo abelii (Sumatran orangutan). RNAcentral describes it as "retained intron". The stretch from base 3852 to 3965 matches the Rfam family "Potassium channel RNA editing signal". Lineage: Eukaryota; Metazoa; Chordata; Mammalia; Primates; Hominidae. The record is from RNAcentral.